UGGCCUAUAGUAGAAUCAAAUGAAAAGAAAAGAGCAAUUUUUUUUUUUUUUUUUUGGUUUUUUGGU
Molecule: small RNA, 66 nt
Filed under: Arabidopsis thaliana (thale cress)
Lineage: Eukaryota; Viridiplantae; Streptophyta; Magnoliopsida; Brassicales; Brassicaceae
Description: ATSL138610
Source: RNAcentral